RNAcentral lists this transfer RNA (64 nucleotides) under bovine gut metagenome. It matches the Rfam family "tRNA", at positions 5 to 66 of the family's 71-position model. From Rfam's summary of the family: Transfer RNA (tRNA) molecules are approximately 80 nucleotides in length. Their secondary structure includes four short double-helical elements and three loops (D, anti-codon, and T loops). The record is from RNAcentral.
CCAUAGUUCAAUGGCAGAACACUUGCUUCCCAAGCAAGCUAUACGGGUUCGAUUCCCGCUGGGU